This 301-nucleotide ribosomal RNA is filed under the name uncultured bacterium. RNAcentral's name for it is "partial 16S ribosomal RNA". It matches the Rfam family "Bacterial small subunit ribosomal RNA", at positions 509 to 808 of the family's 1533-position model. The record is from RNAcentral.
CAGCAGCCGCGGGAAUACGUAGGGUGCGAGCGUUAAUCGGAAUUACUGGGCGUAAAGCGUGCGCAGGCGGUUGUGUAAGACAGGUGUGAAAUCCCCGGGCUUAACCUGGGAACUGCGCUUGUGACUGCACAGCUAGAGUAUGGCAGAGGGGGUGGAAUUCCACGUGUAGCAGUGAAAUGCGUAGAGAUGUGGAGGAACACCGAUGGCGAAGGCAGUCCCCUGGGCCAAUACUGACGCUCAUGCACGAAAGCGUGGGGAGCAAACAGGAUUAGAUACCCCUGUAGUCCCUGUCUCUUAUACA